RNAcentral lists this unclassified non-coding RNA (391 nucleotides) under soil metagenome. Its description in RNAcentral is "partial contains 5.8S ribosomal RNA, internal transcribed spacer 2, and large subunit ribosomal RNA". The stretch from base 1 to 122 matches the Rfam family "5.8S ribosomal RNA", at positions 35 to 154 of the family's 154-position model. The record is from RNAcentral.
GAUGAAGAACGCAGCGAAAUGCGAUACUUGGUGUGAAUUGCAGAAUCCCGUGAUCCAUCGAGUCUUUGAACGCAAGUUGCGCCCGAAGCCAUUAGGCCGAGGGCACGCCUGCCUGGGCGUCACACGUCGUUGCCCCCCCAUCUACUCCUUCGGGAUUGCGGGGGGCGGAUGAUGGCCUCCCGUGCGCCUCGUCGCGCGGUUGGCAUAAAUGCCAAGUCCUCGGCGACGCACGCCACGACAAUCGGUGGUUGCGAAACCUCGGUUGCCCGUCGUGUGCGGUCGUCGCGCAUCGAGGGCUCGAAAAAAUUGCCGGGCUCCGGCUCGGCUUUCAACGCGACCCCAGGUCAGGCGGGGUUACCCGCUGAAUUUAAGCAUAUCAAUAAGCGGAGGA